UACGUAGGGGGCAAGCGUUGUCCGGAAUCAUUGGGCGUAAAGCGCGUGUAGGCGGCCCGGUAAGUCCGCUGUGAAAGUCGGGGGCUCAACCCUCGAAUGCCGGUGGAUACUGUCGGGCUAGAGUGCGGAAGAGGCGAGUGGAAUUCCUGGUGUAGCGGUGAAAUGCGCAGAUAUCAGGAGGAACACCAAUUGCGAAGGCAGCUCGCUGGGACGUGACUGACGCUAAGGCGCGAAAGCGUGGGGAGCGAACAGG
RNAcentral lists this ribosomal RNA (253 nucleotides) under uncultured bacterium. Its description in RNAcentral is "partial 16S ribosomal RNA". It matches the Rfam family "Bacterial small subunit ribosomal RNA", at positions 524 to 776 of the family's 1533-position model. The record is from RNAcentral.